AAGUUCUUUUUGCCAUGCUUUGGAGGGAGAAGAAGCCAGCAGCCCUGUGAGGUCUCAGGAGGAGCUGGAGACUGUGGCCACUACUACAGAUCUGACCACUGUAAUGGCUGAACUUCCAGAGCUUCCCUCCAGAAAGUCAUCUUUUCCCCAAAGGAGGCGUGCUUGUCAGACUGAUACCCAGGAGGAUAGGCAGCAUGGUGGUAGCAGGAGAAGAUGAAAGAAGCCUGAGUUCUGAGUAUUAGAUGGAAGAACUAAAAUGAAUUAGAACUGGAGAAGAUGGGAGACUGCCCCAGUGGAUGAUACUAGACAAAAAGAGAUUGAUUCUAUAAUUCUAAAAUAUGGACCUACAGAAGACCCCAAAUAGACAAAGAAGUCUUGCUCAAGAAGAACUAACUAGGGGCUGUGAAUGUAGGUCAUUUGUUACUGUUUGCCUAGCAUGCUCAAAGCCCAGUACCUCAUAAAGCAGGUAAGUGGCUAGUGGCACCUGUCUGUCAUCCCAGCACCCUGGAGGAAGAGCCAUGGGAAGUUCAAGCUCAACUGUCACUGCAAAGCUACCUUGAGGGUAGCUUGAGAUACACGAGACCAUAGAAUCUUUUGGAAGCAAGAAGCGCCACUCUUCCUAAUUUUAGUGUACAUAACAAAAACAUUACAAAGCUACAUUGUCAAGAACAGUAUGUCACCGGCAUAAAAAUGGGCACAUACAACAGUGGAAGAGCAUCAAAAGCUCAGAAAUAAACUCCUAUGGCUAUAGUCAGCUGAUCUUCAACAAAGAUGCCAUAGGGUGAAGGAAGCAGUCUGUCACCUGGAGGUUUAUCAGUUGGCGUUCUUGAGGCAAACUCUCCCUGGUCAGACUAAGAGGAGAAAAGCAGACUCCUUGUGAUGUACAUGAACAUACACAUGAACGCAGGAGCCCCUCUUCAUACUACACAUGAACACAGGAGCCCCACAAGACACAAAACUAGAAGAAGGGCCAGAUGACUGAGACAGAUCUCCCACUUCAUGGGGGCAAGGGAAGCAAUUUCAGAAGGAGAGUAAAUGAUUUCUGGUGAAAAUGAAUAAUAAUAUUAAUAAUAAUAAAAGAACAAAACAAAACAAAAAAUAGAAAACAGAACAUAGCCUGGGACCAAGCUCUUCAGAGGUGCAAGCCGCGGUAGGAGCACAAUGGAGCAACACUCAACAGCCACUCCAGUGACAGCCUUCCAGGAGACCAAGGGUGCAUCUCUCCAGGAGGAUGUGCCGACCACCCACCCACCCCCGAUCUCUUUUGGACUGAUUCAUCUUCCCUGAUAAUGCAGUUUCGAGGAGAAAAUUGACCAUUCCCCACAUCCCUUGGGAUAUCUCCAUUUAGAAAAUAAGGAACAUGGAAGUCAGAGCCGGAGGUAAAUGAUCUCGCACGUGUUAACUUGGGUGAGUCUUACAAAGAUUCUGGGGUACAGACAAAUAUACAAUUCCAAUUCAGCUGAGGUUAAGCGGCAUAGCCAAGGUUACCCCAUGAACAUCAGCUUAAGCCUGGUUGAUUCCAAAAUCACUUGAUUGGCCAUUCUAAAGUAUCAAAUAGCGUGUUUUCGAGUUUUGUGUCUUGUGGGGCUCUGCGUUCAUGUAUCUUGAUUUCUGUCCUCUCCCCAUGGCUUCAUAAACGUGUAUAUUGAGUUUUCUCACCAUUGAUAUAAUAAGAGUAAAUGGCUUCAUAAUGAGAGUGUUAAACUAUUAUUGUGUUUCUGUGCUUUGCCUUAAGGCUAUGUGCGGAUGGCCCUAGUAACACAAGGCAGGAAUCUUGAAUUAAUUUCUGCUGCCCUCUUGUGUCAGAGACUAGCAACGACGCCCUAGGAGGAACCGGAUACCUUGGCUCCGGUCUAAUUUCUUUCCUUUUAUUCAUCGAGGGAUCAUGCCACUCUGAGAGAAGAAGUCUGAAUUCUAAAAUUUGAUCUGUUCCAGAGAAUCUUGGCUCACACGAAACACUCAGUAAAAGAGUAAAGAAUGUGACUGUUUCCUUAAAACCAACCAUUUCAGUAUGCAAUGGAAUAAAAUUAAAUCAAUACAACACAAUGC
RNAcentral lists this long non-coding RNA (2049 nucleotides) under Mus caroli (Ryukyu mouse). Its description in RNAcentral is "predicted gene 13264 (MGP_CAROLIEiJ_G0005333.1)". Lineage: Eukaryota; Metazoa; Chordata; Mammalia; Rodentia; Muridae. The record is from RNAcentral.